ACGGAAGGCAGCAGUGAGGAAUAUUGGUCAAUGGACGGAAGUCUGAACCAGCCAAGUCGCGUGAAUGAAGACGGUUCUAUGGAUUGUAAACUUCUUUUGCCAGAGGGUAAAAUGAGGGACGCGUCCCUUAUUGCAAGUAUCUGGUGAAUAAGCAUCGGCUAACUCCGUGCCAGCAGCCGCGGUAAUAUGGAGGAUGCGAGCGUUAUCCGGAUUUAUUGGGUUUAAAGGGUGCGUAGGCGGGAUGUUAAGUCAGCGGUGAAAGUUUGCGGCUCAACCGUAAAAUUGCCGUUGAAACUGGCGUUCUUGAGUGUAGACGAGGUUGGCGGAAUGUAACGUGUAGCGGUGAAAUGCUUAGAUAUGUUACAGAACCCCGAUUGCGUAGGCAGCUGACCAGCAUACAACUGACGCUGAGGCACGAAAGCGUGGGUAUCAAACAGGAUUAGAUACCCUGGUA
RNAcentral lists this ribosomal RNA (454 nucleotides) under uncultured Porphyromonadaceae bacterium. Its description in RNAcentral is "partial 16S ribosomal RNA". It matches the Rfam family "Bacterial small subunit ribosomal RNA", at positions 341 to 792 of the family's 1533-position model. Lineage: Bacteria; Pseudomonadati; Bacteroidota; Bacteroidia; Bacteroidales; Porphyromonadaceae. The record is from RNAcentral.